GCGCGAGUGGCGGAAUUGGUAGACGCGCACGGUUCAGGUCCGUGUGUUGGAAACGACGUGGGGGUUCAAGUCCCCCCUCGCGCA
RNAcentral lists this transfer RNA (84 nucleotides) under Conyzicola lurida. It matches the Rfam family "tRNA". Rfam says of the family: Transfer RNA (tRNA) molecules are approximately 80 nucleotides in length. Lineage: Bacteria; Bacillati; Actinomycetota; Actinomycetes; Micrococcales; Microbacteriaceae. RNAcentral also lists the same sequence under 2 other names. The record is from Rfam by way of RNAcentral.